RNAcentral lists this long non-coding RNA (979 nucleotides) under Mus pahari (shrew mouse). RNAcentral's name for it is "lncRNA (MGP_PahariEiJ_G0003280.1)". The record is from RNAcentral. Lineage: Eukaryota; Metazoa; Chordata; Mammalia; Rodentia; Muridae.
AUGAAAGGGAAGUUCUUAAAUUACCCACCCCAGCCAAGAGGAAGAGGUGGUAACAGGAAUUCUGACUUGUAGCCUGGCUGUGACCUGCAGUAGCUGGGCUAAUCAUUCCUUGUGCUAUGUUCCUCCUAUUCUGGCCAAUUUACUUAGCUCAAAUGAAACUAAAGAGGCACGGGUUCAACCCAAUUGGAUGGAGGAAGAUGUUAAACCACAUCCAAAAGGAACAGCUCCCAGGAAGCUUUCCCUUAGAGUUCUCCAAAUAGUCCUCCCUCCAAUCUGCUCCCCAUCUGCUGCUGGGAGUCACUCUGCCACCUGUAGAGGAUGUCUUUGAACAUGGGUUUGGUUGAUGUUUGGACAUGACGGCGAAUACAAAAGACACAAGGGAUUCUGCAGUGAGACGGAAAGUAAUGAGCGCUGCACGCAUGCCGACAGCGCAGAUUGAAGAUGCUCCCUAACGUCUAUGUGCAUCCAUCCCCAGCUGUACAAAUGAUGCAUUUCCCCAGCCAGGUGGACUCCAGGCACUCUGCACCUCCGCUUGCUUUGUGUUCUGACUACAUUAGAAGGUGAGAAGACAUUAAAUUUGCCUUAUGCAACACCACAAUUGACUGAAAUGGACAGUUUGACAAAGGAACAGCCACUUGCAUGCAGAUACAAUAGGCCACUGGAAGGAGCUGUCGGAUGAGGACCAGCCCUCGGCCUCUCAGAAUGUCACUCUUCCCAUAGAAGCACAUCACCUACCAUCUGCUGGAAGAUCAUCCGUUGAUCUUGGCCUAUUUUUCAUUUUCCCUCAUAAAAUCAGCUUUCCAACCCUUCACUCAUCUUUACUCUCUUUCAGCUCAUCCCUGAGAGUUCAACAUGGCAUAAGAUAAUGUAACUUUUCAAUAAAACAUAAAAUAAUCGGUUCAUUUAUUCAUCAAAAGCCUCAGCCUUCCAGCUUUACGAUUUUUCUGUAUCUCCCAGUAAAAAUAAUUCUUCGCUGCUA